This 405-nucleotide ribosomal RNA is filed under the name Triticum aestivum (bread wheat). RNAcentral's name for it is "partial small subunit ribosomal RNA". The record is from RNAcentral. Lineage: Eukaryota; Viridiplantae; Streptophyta; Magnoliopsida; Poales; Poaceae.
AUGCAUCAGCUUGGAGGAGAGCGCCGCUGCUGGACUGUCUGUGUAACGAUCCUGCGGAGCAGUGAUUGGAAUGCACACAUUCCGGAUGUUCCUCCUAUGGGUUAUGAACCACCGCCGGCUGACGGGAUCCCACACCCUCUGUUUGGUGAUGGACUGACGGCGGAGCAGAUGUAUCAGGCACAGCUGCACAAUUGGCUUGCUCAGAAUGCUGCGCCCAAUCAGAACAAUGAGGAGGUUCAGCUGCAAGGCAACGAUGUCCACUUCCAAGCAAACUGGGGUGCCUGGCCACCUUCCCCACCACCAGCUGUCUACAAUUACCAAGCGUGGCUCGCUGCUGAGGGCUUACAUGUGCAAGAUGGUAUCCUCCCGGCCAACAAUCUGCAUGACAGCCCUAGCAUGGCCUGA